GGGAUAUAGCUCAGUGGUAGAACACUUGCCUAUUGUGUGUCUUAAUUCAUUCUACUGUCUUUCCCAUUUCCAUCCUCACUCCUUCCCCCAUAAAGAUGAAAGCAGAUGUAUAAACAUGAAAGCUAUUUACUGAUAUAUUGAUCAGUGAACCUUUUUUUUAGGGAAAAUAGAAUUGCUUAAAGUAAUAAUGAUACAGUACUGUAAAGAAUGGCUUUGUUUAUGCAAGGACCUAGGCUCAAUUCCUAGCACCCA
RNAcentral lists this transfer RNA (252 nucleotides) under Marmota monax (woodchuck). RNAcentral's name for it is "tRNA.Asn". The record is from RNAcentral. Lineage: Eukaryota; Metazoa; Chordata; Mammalia; Rodentia; Sciuridae.